This 672-nucleotide long non-coding RNA is filed under the name Homo sapiens (human). Its description in RNAcentral is "non-protein coding TMEM161B-AS1:47". The record is from RNAcentral. Lineage: Eukaryota; Metazoa; Chordata; Mammalia; Primates; Hominidae.
UUUGUUAGUUGACGAUGCAAUCAGCAUGCUGAUUAAGGUUGCUUGGUUUUUUACUAAACAUUAACUGAAUGAAAACGGGUAGUCCUUGUUCUGCUUGGGGGGCUUUAAGGAAGCAAAUGGACUUUCAGAACAGAGAUUGUCAAUAAAGAUCCAAUGUGAUAAUUUAUGUGAAAUCUUUCUGCAAACUAUACAGUAUGAUAAAAAUAUAAGGUAGUUUCACUGGAAACAACAGAAGACUAGAAGCUGAUGUGACGUGGCAAUAUCAACCAGGAAUACCCAUCUCGAGUUCUGGAUAUGUGCUCUGAGAAGGUGCCCAUGUCACCGACCACACUGGAGGCCAAUGCAGAUACUGGGGGAAGGUUCCAUGGUAGCUAAGUGUGGACAAGCUAAUCACUGAAGUUCCCUGAUGCAGAGUUGAUAAUCUCUCUAGAGUUGGAUGAAAGACUGUGCUGCCUUGAAGCUCUGAGAGAUGCCAUGCCAAUUCAAGGCAGGGUCUUUAUUGUUGAAACUCUUGCGUAAUGACAUCUUUAUUCAGGUGAAAAUACAGGAUGAAUUUCAACUAUAUGAUAUUGUUUAUGUUCCUCAGACAUGUUAUUUGUCUUUACAAAGAUUGGUUUCAAUAAACUGUGUGACUGAUAUUAAAUAAACAUGGAAUUUUACACAUUCAUAAUA